This 87-nucleotide transfer RNA is filed under the name Candidatus Levyibacteriota bacterium. RNAcentral's name for it is "tRNA-Ser". It matches the Rfam family "tRNA". From Rfam's summary of the family: Transfer RNA (tRNA) molecules are approximately 80 nucleotides in length. Lineage: Bacteria; Candidatus Levyibacteriota. The record is from RNAcentral.
GGAGGGGUCGCAUAGUGGUCUAGUGCGCAUCUUUGGAGAAGAUGUGUGGACGCAAGUUCACCGGGAGUUCGAAUCUCCCUCCCUCCG